Molecule: ribosomal RNA, 253 nt
Filed under: uncultured bacterium
Lineage: Bacteria
Description: partial 16S ribosomal RNA
Rfam family: Bacterial small subunit ribosomal RNA
Source: RNAcentral
UACAGAGGUCUCAAGCGUUGUUCGGAUUCAUUGGGCGUAAAGGGUGCGUAGGUGGCGCGCUAAGUCAGGUGUGAAAUUUCGGAGCUUAACUCCGAAACUGCAUUUGAUACUGGCGAGCUUGAGUUCGGGAGAGGUGAGUGGAACUGCGAGUGUAGAGGUGAAAUUCGUAGAUAUUCACAAGAACACCAGUGGCGAAGGCGGCUCACUGGCCCGGUACUGACGCUGAGGUGCGAAAGCGUGGGGAGCAAACAGG